UUUGUCUGUAGAUCGUUAUUGGAACUAUAAUUUCUGGUUUAGACAGAGGCUUAUAUCAAAACUCUCGAAUCAGUUUUGAUGGUGAAAAAACUUUUUUUGCCAUCAAACUCUUCUUCCUUUUAUUGGAUAGAUUCGAAUAUUU
Arabis alpina (gray rockcress) is the source of this 142-nucleotide non-coding RNA. The record is from Rfam. Lineage: Eukaryota; Viridiplantae; Streptophyta; Magnoliopsida; Brassicales; Brassicaceae.